GACGUAGGGGGCCAGCGUUGUUCGGAAUUACUGGGUGUAAAGGGUUCGUAGGCGGUGUGGCAAGUCGGGAGUGAAAUCUCUGGGCUCAACUCAGAGGCUGCUUCCGAAACUGCUGUGCUUGAGUGUGAGAGAGGCUCGUGGAAUUGCAGGUGUAGCGGUGAAAUGCGUAGAUAUCUGCAGGAACACCCGUGGCGAAAGCGGCGAGCUGGAUCACUACUGACGCUGAGGAACGAAAGCUAGGGGAGCAAACAGGAUUAGAUACCCUGGUAGUCCUAGCCCUAAACGAUCAGGACUUGGGGUGCCACCCGUUCGGGUGUCGUCCCGGAGCUAACGCGUUAAGUCCUGCACCUGGGGAGUACGGUCGCAAGACUGAAACUCAAAG
This 382-nucleotide ribosomal RNA is filed under the name uncultured bacterium. Its description in RNAcentral is "bacterial SSU rRNA". It matches the Rfam family "Bacterial small subunit ribosomal RNA", at positions 524 to 906 of the family's 1533-position model. The record is from RNAcentral.